UGAUAGCUGGUUUCUCAAGAAAAGAAUCUUAGUUCACCCUAAAGCCCACAUAAUAAUAUAAAUAACAACACAACUUUAGAGCAAUCCAAACAAGGUACAGCCUGUUUGAAAAAGGAUACAACCUUCACUCGCGGGUAAUGAUACUCACUAUAACACCAAGUAGACCUAAAACCAGCCAUCUUAGUAAAAUGCGUUAAAGCUUUAUAUUAUACCACUCUUUCUCUUUUCCCACCCCCGAAUCACUAUUGAGAACUUCUAUACCGUAUAGAAACUUUUAUGUUAAAACUAGUAACAAGAACCAAUUCUCUUAAAUACACGUGUAUGUUAGGGCGAACUCACCACUAACACUUAUUCUGCCAUGAAAAACAAUAGCAACUCUCUAAGAAAACCCUAUUAAUUAUUUUGUUAACCCUACACAAGAGUACUUCAAGAAAGAUAAAAAUGGAAAGAAGGAACUCGGCAAAUGGGGGAUCCCGCCUGUUUACUAAAAACACCGCCUCUUGACUACCAUAAGAGGUCCAGCCUGCCCAGUGAGAAAUUCAACGGCCGCGGUAACCUGACCGUGC
Molecule: ribosomal RNA, 566 nt
Filed under: Brachycephalus sp. 2 MF-2020
Lineage: Eukaryota; Metazoa; Chordata; Amphibia; Anura; Brachycephalidae
Description: partial large subunit ribosomal RNA
Source: RNAcentral